Long non-coding RNA from Helianthus annuus (common sunflower), 549 nucleotides. RefSeq lists it as uncharacterized. The record is from RefSeq and is a predicted model, not a curated record. Lineage: Eukaryota; Viridiplantae; Streptophyta; Magnoliopsida; Asterales; Asteraceae. The transcript has 4 exons.
UACAAAUGACUCUACAACCACACUCGACGAUCCAACUGAUUUUACAAACGAUGACUACUCAAAAGUUAAAGGCCCGGAGAAAAGAGGAUACGUUCGAUUAGUUGGAAGGAUGCCAGCCGCAAAAAGUAACACGACAUAUUCACAAACUAAUGAUCAGCUAAAGAGUGUUAUCCAAACUAAUGAUCAACUAAAGAGUGUUGUCAAUGCUAUGGCUAUCAUUAUCCAAGAACAUAUCCCCAAUGCAAAUUUAUCUUCGGUUCUUAGCAGUAUAAACAUGCAGGUCCCUGGUACUGGGUCUUUGGUACAUAACAAUUCUUUAUCAUCUUCAAGAAGUCAAUAUGAUAAUGGGCAAGAAAGUCGUUCGGACAAUUGAUCUUAAAGUUUUGUUCACAUUGCAAUUAAGGGUAGAUAUCAUGAGAAGCUUUGGAGCUAAGUUUUAUGAUACUGGAAUUUUCACCCGGAAGAACGUUUAGACUUCUUGUUUAAAUAAUUGGAAUUUGGAAUAUGUGAAUUAUUCAGGAUGUUUUCCUAACAUUUGAAAUAUGUUUU